This is a long non-coding RNA of Bos taurus (domestic cattle), 1417 nucleotides long. NCBI's taxonomy places the organism in Eukaryota, Metazoa, Chordata, Mammalia, Artiodactyla, Bovidae. The record is from Ensembl.
GGUUAGGAAACUGAGGCUGAGAGAAUUCAGUUCUUUUCAGGGUCCUAUAAGGAAGAGAGAUAGACACGUUUGAAACCAGUGAAAGAAUUCCUUGAUGGAUCCAAUCCAAAACAUAUUUCAGGCAAAGCUGAACUCAAAUCAAGGAAAAGUCUAAGUCCGAAAAUCCAAUGGGAGUAAAAGGAACACAGAGAAGAAUACUUGUUGUUGACAGGAGACAUUAAAAACACAAAGUGCAAAAGAAAAAUGUAAGAAGAAAUGUGCACUCACUAGGACACAGGCUUUAUUGGAGAAUCAAAGAAUAGACACACUAAGUGCUCACAGGGUAGAGAUCACAUCGCAGAUUACAGACGGGCACAUGGCAAAAGGCGAUCAGGUGAUGAUCCUGCUGCUCUUUAUCCAACAAGGUGGUGUCAGCUUCAGGAAGCAAGCCUUUUCUCUGUCAGCUGUCGGUUGAGGAGGGAGGUUAAGGAAGACGAAAUCCAUCACCAUGGCCGAAGGGAGGACAACGGGAGAGCCUGGAUCUUGUUGUUUCUUGGUCCAGAUGAAAUCUGGUGCUGUUACUUCCACUUGGGUGGACACUUCUGCUCACAGGGUGGGCAAGGCUCAUGGCACUUGGGUGGGCACACUAUUGGAGGUGGAUGGCAGGGCUCCUUGCACUGAUGGUGAUGCUGAUGCUGAUGCUUUUGCGGAUGUGGAUGUGGAUGCGGAUGCGGAUGGUGAGACAUACUUCCCCGGGUCUCAAGGAAUCUGAAAUACAAACAGCAUUGUUAACAGAAAGUCCUAUUCUUCCAUUAAUAGGGAGCCCUCUUCUACCACUUUCCAAAGAAAAAUUACUUGCACAAAUGUUGUGUGAAUACAAGCACACUCUGAAGAAGAAUAAUCAGGAUGUGAAACUUCUAGCCAAUCUCAAAAACAUCUCUACUAAUUUCUCCCUUGAGGUUCUGGUUGCUGGUCUAACUGACUUGACUGUUGGCUUCCAAGGAGAAACGCAAAGGCCCACAUGCAGCACUCAGUGGAACUGCAGGCUGAGAAGACUUCAUUUGCAAUGAAUGCAGGGUGCACUGAAACACGGCAUCUCAUCUCCCUGACUCUCCCUAGGUUAAGAUUGUGCCGCUGACUCCAUUCCUCUCGUCUCCUUUAAGAGCACAUUUAAGAUGUCAAGAACAAGAUUAAAACUACCCCUAAAUUCUCAUUAUCUUCUUAUUCCCAUAGAGAGCACUAAUUUGUUAAAAUACAGCCACUUCUACCCUAAGACUAUACCCUACCACACAAGUGCUAAAAACAUCUAAAACUGUACGCACCAGAGGCUCCAAAUAAGACCUAUGACUGAGUAGCACAAAGAUAGCAGUAUGGUGGUAGAGACUCCUUUUAUAAGGACCAGGCAGCUCCACCCAGAGGGAAUAUCCCAGAUCUGGCA